UCUCCGAAAUAGCUUUAGGGCUAGCCUCAAGUGAUGAUUAUUGGAGGUAGAGCACUGUUUGGACGAGGGGCCCCUCUCGGGUUACCGAAUUCAGACAAACUCCGAAUGCCAAUUAAUUUAACUUGGGAGUCAGAACAUGGGUGAUAAGGUCCGUGUUCGAAAGGGAAACAGCCCAGACCACCAGCUAAGGUCCCAAAAUAUAUGUUAAGUGGAAAAGGAUGUGGCGUUGCCCAGACAACUAGGAUGUUGGCUUAGAAGCAGCCAUCAUUUAAAGAGUGCGUAAUAGCUCACUAGUCGAGUGACACUGCGCCGAAAAUGUACCGGGGCUAAACAUAUUACCGAAGCUGUGGAUUGUCCUUUGGACAAUGGUAGGAGAGCGUUCUAAGGGCGUUGAAGCAUGAUCGUAAGGACAUGUGGAGCGCUUAGAAGUGAGAAUGCCGGUGUGAGUAGCGAAAGACGGGUGAGAAUCCCGUCCACCGAUUGACUAAGGUUUCCAGAGGAAGGCUCGUCCGCUCUGGGUUAGUCGGGUCCUAAGCUGAGGCCGACAGGCGUAGGCGAUGGAUAACAGGUUGAUAUUCCUGUACCACCUAUAAUCGUUUUAAUCGAUGGGGGGACGCAGUAGGAUAGGCGAAGCGUGCGAUUGGAUUGCACGUCUAAGCAGUAAGGCUGAGUAUUAGGCAAAUCCGGUACUCGUUAAGGCUGAGC
This 705-nucleotide ribosomal RNA is filed under the name Staphylococcus aureus. Its description in RNAcentral is "partial 23S ribosomal RNA". It matches the Rfam family "Bacterial large subunit ribosomal RNA", at positions 856 to 1561 of the family's 2925-position model. The record is from RNAcentral. Lineage: Bacteria; Bacillati; Bacillota; Bacilli; Caryophanales; Staphylococcaceae.